This is a long non-coding RNA of Mytilus californianus (California mussel), 3856 nucleotides long. RefSeq lists it as uncharacterized. The record is from RefSeq and is a predicted model, not a curated record. Lineage: Eukaryota; Metazoa; Mollusca; Bivalvia; Mytilida; Mytilidae. The transcript has 2 exons.
AAAAUUUAAAACCAGCUCUGUAAUGUAAACAGUUUCCCUUUUCAGUAGUAUCAUUCUGUUGCUGGUGUAUGUCAGAUCAUGAAUUAAGUAACAAGUCAAUUUCACUCUUCAAUUGUCAUUCCUUUUGACAUUAUUCCCUCUUUUAAAUAUAAAAUUUUGUAAGAGUAAGUUCCCUUUGGGUAGGUAGUUUUUAUUUGCAUAAAGUUAAAGGUUCUGAAAACUUUAAUUUUAAUUUAAAAUUCAACUUCAUUUCCUUUUUAUGAAGGUUAAAGGACACCUACCCACAAGAAAGAUAACUCUGAAACAAGCAAAGGGAAAUAACUCUGGAAAUUGGAAAAGAGGGAAUGAUCUAAAUAACAUUCCUUUAAAUGAAUAUUUAAGUACAUUACAUAGAAAAUGAAUAAGAUAAACAACAGAAAUGGAUAUUAGAAGUGUGUCCUUAUUGCUAUAAUACAAAUGUGAAAGACUUUUGUAUGGGUAAACUUAGGGAAAAAUAAGCUUCCAGAAAAAGCCAUUAAAUUUUGUGUCAUUUAUGUAUAAGAAUUAUUGUGAAAAUUUCUUAGCAUAAUGUAUAUAUUUAUUGUAUAGUAUUUUGUAUAAUUUAUUUAAAUGCGGCAAUCAAAUAGAAGAUAGUUUGCUUUACUUUUAUAGUCCCUUUUGAACAUUUAUACCUGAGCUAUUUAUGUAAACUUUUUGCAUCAUUUGUUGUCCAUCAUUCCUGAGUCAAUUUUUAUUUCUACAGCUUCACUUGGUGUCCGUCAGCAUUCCCCAUUCACCUAUUAUUUCAAUAGCCAUCAUUGAAUUGAAAAAAUUUAUGACUGCAAAAUUUUAAAACCUUCAUUUAUUCCUAAUCUCUUGAAUAGGAUUCAUUUGAAAAUAACUACUUAGUGUUAAUAACCCUGCACACGGCAGGUAAAUUCAACUCCAAUUGACAAGGAUUGUCAGUUUUCCACCAAUAAAAACUGACCACCAAUAUAGCCGAUAGCCAAUUGUGCUAAAAGUGGUGUUAAAUACUAACAAUCAAUCAAUCAUUGUGUUAAUAUUUUAUUGAUGGUGUUAUGAAGAGUGCACUUUACUAUUCCCAAUCAACGUAAAUUUGAUUUGCACAUAAACAAUGCAAGACUCUGCAAUAGAGUUUUUUUUGUCUUCAUUUUUAGUCAAAUUGAAACAAUUAAAAGAUAAUAAACAAUAUUAUGACUAUCAUUCUUUGAAUGAGCCAAUGCAGCAGGGGAGCAAUACACUCUUUAUCAUGUAGUUUUAGUUUUCAGAUAUUUUUAUAUUGUUAGUGUAUUGUUUUUGAUUUAUUUCUUGCAGUUGUGUAUUACAACUGAACUUUAUAUUGUUUACACUUGUUAAGUACUUUCCUUGACCAAAGGAAUAUGUCAGAGCAUUAAUGAAUAAAGAAUAACUAUACAUUGUCUCAAAAUAUGAAAUUUACUUGUACAAGGCUUAGAAACAGAUAUAAUGUGAGGGGCUUUCCUGAGCAUUUCUGUGUUGUUUCGAGUGUAGAACAAAUAAAAUUAAUGUAACAAAAUGUUUUAUUUACUACAAUAAUAUAAUAUAUGUUCUCUAUUGGAAUUUUGAAACAAAAAUAAAAUUAAUGUUUUGAGACAAUAUAUGGUGAAUUGUUUUCUGCAACUCUUCCAAAUGAAAAAGCUUUGUAAGAAAUCACCAUUUUGAAUUUUAACAGGAAAACACAAAUCAUCCGUGCUCUACAUCCUUUCUUGUCAUAAUUAAAACUCUACGAAAACACUUAUCAUCGCCAAUGUUUAUACAGUCAAUUCAUUUUGACUGCGUAAAUAGCACAGUUGCAGUAUAAAAGGAUAUUGCUGUCACAGUGUUAAUGUUAAUAGGUUGAUGUCAGUGUCACAGUGUUAAUAGAAGGUAAAGAUUGAGUGUUAUUGAUCAAAGGUCAAUGUUGGUGUUAAUGAAAAAAGGUCAAAUAAAUGUACAGUGUGAUAACCAAGGUUGAUAAAACAUUGUUUAAAUUAAGAAAAGUUGUCACACUGUUAAUUUCUAAAUAUUGAUAUCACAGUGGUAAUGAAUAAAGGUCAACACCUAAGUGUUAAUAACAAAAAUUUGGUCAUAGUGUUAAUGACUAAAGGUCAACACCAAAGCAUUAAUAACAAAAAUUUGGUCAUAGUGUUAAUGACUUAAGGUCAAUACCAAAGCGUUGAUUAAAAAAAAAAAUGGUCAUAGUGUUAAUGACUAAAGGUUGACAUCAAAGUAUUGUUGACUCACGGUUCACAUUUCAAUGUUGACAAAUAAAAGUAGACUCUAAAGUUUAAGUUAAUGUUGCCACUGUGUUAAAUUUCCAAAUCUAGAUGCCAGUGUAAAUAAAUAAAGUUUUACAACUUAGCGUUUAAGUUGAAGACAUAGUGUUAUUAUAGAUCAUACUUGUUCCACUUCUACCGAAUAUAUGGUUACGUGAUUCGAAUCCUCAUUGAAGGUGUGCUCUAAAAGGUUCUUUUUUUUACAUAAGAUUUAUCUCCACAUAUAUGUUGUAUCACAUAUUACUAAAGUAUUUGAAAUGCUCAUAGUAUAUAAAAGCUACUCUUAGAUGUUCUAGCUUUAAAGAUUGUGUAUUAGUAGCUAGAUGUGUAUUGUGGACAUCAGUGUAUUAUAGGGCUAUGACACAUGCUAGAGGGAGACUGUAUUUAGAAAUAAUCAUAAUUCUUGUAUCGUAAUUGUAGUAAAAGUGGAAUAAAAAAAUUAAUCAGUCAGUAAAAUGCUUUAAAAAUAUUUUUAGAUUUUAAAAGUGUUGAUCUUAUCAACAUGAUCCAAUUUUUUUUCAAAAAAGAGAUAUAUUGUUUUGAAUUUGUCAGCUCAGUUUGAAACACAUUUUGAAAUUUUGUAAUGAGUAAAGAAUUGUUUAUUUCUUUUAAAAAAAUCAAGAAAAUGAAAUGAUAGGAAACUUAUUCGUCAACUUUUUUUUUUUUUUUUAUAUUAUUAAACAAAAUACUCCAGACCAAAAGGUUUGAUAGCCAUUCAUUGAUAUAAUUUGUUUGAAUUAAACUAGAAAAUGCAGUCAUAUUAUGGUAUGGGUGUGUCAUUGCAGUUUAUUUUUAAAAGGCCUGUUUUAAAGAUAAAUUUAUUGUUGUUUAACUUACGAAUAAAGCUUGUGGUAUUUUUCAGUAAGAUAGCAACAUAUUUACGCACAAAAAAUAUCAAAGACAUCUGGAGGUAUGCAUUCCUAUGAUUAAUGGUUUUAUACAGUAUAAAUUUCCUCUUAAAAUAAAAAUGAUGGAUCUUGGAAUAUUUCUUGUUUCACAUUUUCUUUUAAUCCAAAAGUGAUAGCCUUUUUUUCAAGAUUUAUAUUAUUGAGCCCUUUGUGCUUUUUUCAAGGAAUCAUCAAUCAGUCAAUCUAUAUAACACUUUUAGUAUCGGUCAGAUAUUUCAAUAUAGAUCAUAUUAUUGCCAGAAAGGGACCAAUGUCUGAAAUAUGAAAAAAAAAUAAAAAAAUCUUCAUCUUGUCGAGUAUCAAGAUAAAUAUGAAAUGUACUUUAAUGGUCACUUAGCAAUUUUUUAAUUGACAGGCUCAAUGGAAAAUAUUGUCAACUGGCUUCAGUCGUAUCAUAAUGUGUCAGGCAUAGCCAAUAACUUGGUGUUCAAAACAUUUGAGAUAAGUGUUACUUGUAACACAUAUAACAAGAAUAGAUAUAACCCUGAUCAUUGUGCUUUAAUUGUAUAUGCAUAAAGUCAUCUGUUUUUAUUUUGUUAUUUAAUUAAUGUCAGUGUGAGAAAGAUUAAUUGUAGUUCUUAGAUGUUCUGAAUACAUGUAUGUGUCUUGAUUUGAAAUACAGUAUUUUACACUUGUGAAAAAAAUAAAAAGCUGAAGAUACAGCUGUUCAAAUUA